UUGAUCAAGAAUGUGUGAAGCUUUUGAGAAUUGUGGUUGAACUCAUUUGAUGAAGCUUUUGUUAGCACCAUAAAUUGGUUUUACUUCACACUGUCUUGAUCAAGAGUGUGUGAAGCUUUUAAGAAUUGUGGUUGAACUCCUUUGAUGAAGCUUUUGUUGGCACCAUAAAUUGGUUUUGCUUCACACUGUCUGGAUCAAGAGUGUGUGAAGCUUUUGAGAAUUGUGGUUGCCCUCAUUUGAUGAAGCUUUUGUUGGCACCAUAAAUUGGUUUUGCUUCACACUGUCUUGAUCGAGAGUGUGUGAAGUUUUUGAGAAUUGUAGUUGUCCUCCAUUGAUGAAGCUCUUGUUGACACCAUAAAUUGGUUUUGUUUCACACUAUCUUGAUCAAGAGUGUGUGAAACUUUUAAGAAUUGUGGUUGAACUCCUUUGAUGAAGCUCUUGUUGGCACUAUAAAUUGGUUUUGCUUCACACUGUCUUGAUCAAGAGUGUAUGAAGCUUUUGAGAAUUGUGGUUACAUUGAUACAUAGGAGAAAUGUAUGGAGCAGAUGCAAGAGGGCUGAAUACCUUGAUUUUCGUAUGCCAUGCACUAAAGUUGUUGUUGGCUUGUAAUAAGACUUUGUUGGUGACUAUAACUCUUGUUGGGCAUAAGUGCUCCCUUAGUUGAGAUGUCAAGCUUAAGGGUUUUUGAUUAUUUGUGAAUGCUAGGAGUUCACAUGUACAAGUUGCACCACUCGUCUUCUGGUAGGUGGAAUGAAUGGUGAGUUGCUUUCAUCACUUGGUUGGUGGUACGAAGGUGGGUUCCUUCAUCACCUUUCAUCACAUUUCAUCACCUGGUUGGUGACACGAUGAUGAGUUCCUUCUUCACCUGGUUGGUUGCAUGAAUGGCAAGUUGCCAAAUGAUAUUAGAGUACGGGUUGUACAUUUCAUCACUUGUUGGUGGCAUGAAGAUGAGUUCCUUCUUCACCUGGUUGGUGGCAUGAGUGGCAAGUUGCCAACUGAUAUUAAAGUAUGGGUUGUACAUUUCAUCACCUGGUUGGUGGCAUGAAUGAGAGUACGGGUUGUGCAUUUCAUCACCUGGUUGAUGGCAUAAAUGGCAAGUUACCAAAUGAUAUUAGAGUACGGGUUAUACAUUUCAUCACCUGGUUGGUGGCAUGAAAGAGAGUAGGGUCGUACAUUUCAUCACCUGGUUAGUGGCAUGAAGAUGAGUUUCUUCUUCACCUGGUUGGUGGCAUGAGUGGCAAGUUGCCAAAUGAUAUUAGAGUACAGGUUGUACAUUUCAUCACCUAGUUGGUGGCAUAAAGGAGAGUACAGGUUAUACAUUUCAUCACCUGGUUGGUGAGAAUAAGGGCAAGGUGUCGAGGCACAUUGUAGCAAGUGUUGAAGACACAAAGUAUGUUGAACCCUUUCGAAGCACAGUUGGCUUAUGUAUGUAUGGAUGUGUUGGAAUGUAUGAUGUUUAUGUAUGAAUGUGUUGGAAUGUAUGAUCUUUAUGUAUGAAUGUGUUAGAAUGUAUGAUGUUUAUGUUGAUUGAUAUGAGUGAUACUUAUGAAUGUUUUGCUAUGCAUGAAGGGAUCCAUGCUUUUGAUAUGUGAACCAUGUUGGUUGUAACACUUAGUAUCACAUACUUUGUGUCAAAGUACGCAUGUUGAAGCUUUGAGUUGGAGUAUAAGGGUAGGUCAGCGUAGACCAAGUGUUCCAGUGCUAGGAACGCAAAAGACUCAGAAGAAGUUGUCUGAAUUCCCUCUUCUUUAAAUAUUUGCCGAAUGGCUUAUGUGACAAAAGAUCUCAAGCGGUUGAGAGUCAAAACAUUUGUAAUGUGUAUGCCUUCUUAUAAUAGCAUUUUCUUCAAUACCUAGUCCUCCACUUUGAAAGAGUGAGGCUUGGCCCCAUAGUCAUAAUAGUCAACGGUA
Molecule: long non-coding RNA, 1910 nt
Filed under: Malus domestica (apple)
Lineage: Eukaryota; Viridiplantae; Streptophyta; Magnoliopsida; Rosales; Rosaceae
Description: long non-coding RNA (MDOM_LNC012137)
Source: RNAcentral